UUUGCUUUUGCUUUUGUUGUAGAUGAGUGUUUCUGUUGUUCCAUUGUUUUCCUCUAAUAGUUGAUGCGAUUCCUUUGGUUUAAGUUUGUUAAUCGCAUUUGUAAUUACUUAUUUAAUCGCCUUAUGACUGUAUGACUGUUGUGGGCUUCAUGAUGGUUAUUCUUUAGUUUUCUAUGUUGUGUUAUGUGUACUAUUGUUUGUCUGUUUGUCUUUUUCAUUUUUAGCCAUGGUGUUGUCAGUUCAUUUUCAAUUUGGUAUCUUUAGUCCCUCUUUUUGAAUAGCGGGUAGACCAAGGUUGCCUUUAUUUAUG
This 310-nucleotide long non-coding RNA is filed under the name Mytilus galloprovincialis (Mediterranean mussel). Lineage: Eukaryota; Metazoa; Mollusca; Bivalvia; Mytilida; Mytilidae. The record is from RNAcentral.